UUAGAGUUUGAUCCUGGCUCAGAUUCUACGCUGGCGGCAGGCCUAACACAUGCAAGUCGAGCGGAUGAGUGGAGCUUGCUCCAUGAUUCAGCGGCGGACGGGUGAGUAAUGCCUAGGAAUCUGCCUGGUAGUGGGGGACAACGUUUCGAAAGGAACGCUAAUACCGCAUACGUCCUACGGGAGAAAGCAGGGGACCUUCGGGCCUUGCGCUAUCAGAUGAGCCUAGGUCGGAUUAGCUAGUAGGUGAGGUAAAGGCUCACCUAGGCGACGAUCCGUAACUGGUCUGAGAGGAUGAUCAGUCACACUGGAACUGAGACACGGUCCAGACUCCUACGGGAGGCAGCAGUGGGGAAUAUUGGACAAUGGGCGAAAGCCUGAUCCAGCCAUGCCGCGUGUGUGAAGAAGGUCUUCGGAUUGUAAAGCACUUUAAGUUGGGAGGAAGGGCAGUAAGUUAAUACCUUGCUGUUUUGACGUUACCAACAGAAUAAGCACCGGCUAACUUCGUGCCAGCAGCCGCGGUAAUACGAAGGGUGCAAGCGUUAAUCGGAAUUACUGGGCGUAAAGCGCGCGUAGGUGGUUCAGCAAGUUGGAGGUGAAAUCCCCGGGCUCAACCUGGGAACUGCCUCCAAAACUACUGAGCUAGAGUACGGUAGAGGGUAGUGGAAUUUCCUGUGUAGCGGUGAAAUGCGUAGAUAUAGGAAGGAACACCAGUGGCGAAGGCGACUACCUGGACUGAUACUGACACUGAGGUGCGAAAGCGUGGGGAGCAAACAGGA
RNAcentral lists this ribosomal RNA (776 nucleotides) under uncultured bacterium. RNAcentral describes it as "bacterial SSU rRNA". It matches the Rfam family "Bacterial small subunit ribosomal RNA", at positions 1 to 777 of the family's 1533-position model. The record is from RNAcentral.